CAUCCUGAACUGCACGGUGUGAAGGUUUGUGAUUUUGUAUCUCCUCCACUCGACAGCUCCACUCCAAAACAGGCCAUACAUCAAGAAGCC
This is a long non-coding RNA of Oreochromis aureus, 90 nucleotides long. RefSeq lists it as uncharacterized. The transcript has 3 exons. The record is from RefSeq and is a predicted model, not a curated record. NCBI's taxonomy places the organism in Eukaryota, Metazoa, Chordata, Actinopteri, Cichliformes, Cichlidae.